CCAGUUGGAGGUGUUUAUAUAGCCUUAUCAUCUAAUGGGUGAGAGUUUGCUUUGAACAAUAGGUGGUGUUUUGGUUGCUUGUUCUCCUUCAUCAUAUUUAUAUUAUCAGUUGAUGAAUCUUAUUUGGAGGACUCAAAUUAUAGGUAUAGGUACCUUUUAUCAACAUAAACACAUUUUUUGAUUACAUUUUAGUUUGAAUUAGUAUGAAAAAUGAAUUUGAAAUUGUUGAUAAUGAUUAUGAUUAUGAUUACUUUGUUAUAUGAUUAUGAAAGUGACACAUGAACACAAAUUUAAAAUUUGAAUUUACCCACAUUGGUAUUAUUAAGUCCAAAGUUUUCUAUUCCACAAAAUCAUUGUGGUCUAUAAAGUUUUAUAAAGUCUUUGUGUUAGAUAUUUGUAUAUUGGCUUCCUUAUUUCUAAAAUAAAUAUUCAUGCAUGAUGUUGGAUACGAUGUUCUAACAUGUUGGCACGGUUCAGUGUGCCCUGUUUAUGUGCCAAGAUUUACGCGCGCUUUAUCUAUUUAAGGAAUCCACGCAUUUUUACUUGUUCGCCAAGUCGCGUGCAUUUUGUCUAGAAUCAGUUGUGUGAUUAUUUCCUAAAGUAGUGACAUUAUUUUAAGAAACUUUGGAUGUGUUUUAGUUGUUCCUAAAGAUGUUCCGACAUUUUAGGAGACAACCUGUUUGUUCCUGAUUCUUGGGAAGCGGGUCAGCUAUUGGAUCUGAAAUGUUUUCUGAAGCCCAACAAGUCUAUUCAAGCCGUACUGCUUCAGAGUAUUUAUACACGGACGCAAAAGCUAAUUCAUCAUUCAAACCGUCAUUUAUAUAUCAGAGCUUUUAGGGUUUUGAGUCGUUGUUCAAUAUGAGCCUUUUCUUGUGUCACCUUGAUACAUGAUAAGGACUGUGUUUUAUUGAGUUGUAAUUGUGUAUACUACUCCUAAGCUUUGAAGCACGAAGGUAGUUUGUGUUUGAAGGUAACUUCAUCAUUGUUUUGUAAUCAGAUAAUCACAAGUGUGUGAUUGAGUGGAAGUGAGAUGAGAUCUCAGAUCUAGGAGUUCCUAGGUUGAAGUCAGUGCAGGUAGGUCUUAUGUUAUAAGUUGUGAACUUGGAGUUUGUUGAGAACGUAGAACAAGGACUACGCUAGUGGAUUUCCUUCCUGCCUUGGUAGCCUCCAUAGUAGGUGUGUUUGUCACUGAACUGGGUUAACAAUUCAGCUGUGCCAUUUACUUUCUUGUCUUGUACUUUUACCUAAUUUUGUUUGUUAUUGUUAGCAUGAUGUUUAAACAAUUUACCUGUGCUAUUUACUUUUACCUAAUUUUGUUGGAACAUCGUAUAAAACAUCUGAAAGUUAACGCG
Molecule: long non-coding RNA, 1352 nt
Filed under: Medicago truncatula (barrel medic)
Lineage: Eukaryota; Viridiplantae; Streptophyta; Magnoliopsida; Fabales; Fabaceae
Description: long non-coding RNA (MTRU_LNC004172)
Source: RNAcentral